GAAAUGGUUACCAAAAAGAUUCUUACUAUUUAGAACAUUCGCUAAUUUUUUUCCUCUUUUUAGAAUCCGGGCUUACCUCAAUAGGUUUUGCUUCUUGUUCUUUUGUUUCAAAUUCCACAAAGGCAGAUCCCACUGGGUCUCCGGUAGACUUACAACACGGAACACCUCUACAAACAACAUUGGCACAUUUCCCAAAUGCUCUUCCGGUCCAGCUGAGAUUAACAUGUUUUGGCAACUAGUUUCUAUGAUAAUUUAGAAGCAGUGUUCAAUAUGUAAGGAUUUAAUGACUAUACAGAUUAAACUU
Molecule: long non-coding RNA, 304 nt
Filed under: Lynx pardinus (Iberian lynx)
Lineage: Eukaryota; Metazoa; Chordata; Mammalia; Carnivora; Felidae
Source: RNAcentral